This 317-nucleotide ribosomal RNA is filed under the name Phormidesmis sp. 50A. RNAcentral's name for it is "bacterial SSU rRNA". It matches the Rfam family "Bacterial small subunit ribosomal RNA", at positions 72 to 414 of the family's 1533-position model. Lineage: Bacteria; Bacillati; Cyanobacteriota; Cyanophyceae; Leptolyngbyales; Leptolyngbyaceae. The record is from RNAcentral.
UCCUUCGGGAUUUAGUGGCGGACGGGUGAGUAACGCGUGAGAAUCUGCCUUUAGGACGGGAACAACAACUGGAAACGGUUGCUAAAGCCCGAUGUGCCCUUCGGGGUGAAAUAUUUAUAGCCUGAAGAUGAGCUCGCGUCAGAUUAGCUAGUUGGUGGGGUAAGAGCCUACCAAGGCGACGAUCUGUAACUGGUCUGAGAGGAUGACCAGUCACACUGGGACUGAGACACGGCCCARACUCCUACGGGAGGCAGCAGUGGGGAAUUUUCCGCAAUGGGCGAAAGCCUGACGGAGCAAUACCGCGUGAGGGAGGAAGG